UAGUGAAGCAUGAUAGUUAUUCGUAUCAAAGGGGCUGAGAAACUGAGAUAUAAGCCUUUUUGUUGUUGUUAACUUUACAUAGCAUUAGAAUAACAUCUCUGCCAGCUGGCAGGUUUAAAUGUCUAGGUACAGAUUUCUGCCAUCUACAUUUCAUAAUGUAAUUUAAGCUAUCUUAGAUUUAGGAAAAAAAAAAAAAAAACAGUCCUUUUUAAGAAGUCUAAUGCUAGCUUAGCAAAAAAUUAGAGUUUCAGAAAUGAGUAGUGACUUCAGGCAAGCGCAAAGGGGAACCUGCAGAAGAACCAAACCUGCAGAAGAACUUUGUGCUCAGAAGAGCUUUUUGCCCUGAGAAGACCUGGGGGUUCUGUCACUGCUGUGCUUUAGAAACAGCUCUCUUUGAUCUCCACCUCUGUUUGUUGUGUUAUUAUUUUUGAUCUCUUAUCAAAGUGUGUGAUUGUAUGAAAGAGUGGGUAUUCCCGCUGGCUUCGUUCGAAGAGUUGACUUUUCCUCUACCUCCACACUGGUUUGCUCUCACGCAUGAGGAGACACGUUCAGCCUCUCCAUUUUUGUGUCUCCAUUUCCAGUGAAUUCUCACCCUGUGGGAAGUCUAAGGGGGAGAGAGUUGGUCAGAGUGGAAAAUUAAGGUGACAUUAUAAAGCUUCGUGAGAUGCAUCAGUGACAGUCACAUCUCAAAGCUCCAUGUGAACUGGCAGCCUCUGAAGGGUGGGGAGUACAUGGAGGUCUGACUGGCGGAUAAAUCAUGAAGAGAAAAAUAAAACUUUUCCCAGAGGGAGAGCUGCCACACACACUUACACAAAAGGUUGUUUGUUUGCUCCCUGCAGUAUUUUUUUUUUCUUACAAAAACUGUUUGUUUUUCAACUUAUUUAUUUUUAAAGCAAGAAAUAUUGUUUGGAUUACUAACACAUACCUGAUGCAAAAGGACAGAAAGACGUGCUUUAAAUAUGCCGUGUUAUCACUUCCUCUAGCUACUCAUUUCCUUUUCCCCGUAUGUAAUUCUAAUAUCCCCUGAGUCUAGUACUGAGGCAUUAGCCUAACUGCUGUGCAGUUAACAAAAUUGUGACUUGGGGAAGUACUGAUACACAGAGAGAUGUUCCCUCUCCCCUAAAUUCCUGCAUCUGCUGCUAUGGCCAUGGUAAGGAAACCAUUUGGAA
Molecule: long non-coding RNA, 1169 nt
Organism: Oxyura jamaicensis (ruddy duck)
Lineage: Eukaryota; Metazoa; Chordata; Aves; Anseriformes; Anatidae
Exons: 3
Source: RefSeq, a predicted model, not a curated record